GAGCAUGCCUGUCGGGACCC
RNAcentral lists this small RNA (20 nucleotides) under Arabidopsis thaliana (thale cress). Its description in RNAcentral is "Ath_wt_19253". Lineage: Eukaryota; Viridiplantae; Streptophyta; Magnoliopsida; Brassicales; Brassicaceae. The record is from RNAcentral.